Molecule: ribosomal RNA, 407 nt
Filed under: uncultured bacterium
Lineage: Bacteria
Description: partial 16S ribosomal RNA
Rfam family: Bacterial small subunit ribosomal RNA
Source: RNAcentral
AUUGAACGCUGGCUGCAGGCCUAACACAUGCAAGUCGAGCGGAGCGGCGAACGGGUUAGUAAUGCCUAGGAAUCUGCCUGUUCGUGGGGGAUACCGUCCGUCAACGUGCGCUACUACCGCAUACUAUCAUAUCAGCCUAGGUCGUCUGAGCUAGUUGGUGGGGUAACGGCCUACCAAGGCGACGAUCCGUAACUGGCCUGAGAGGAUGAUCAGUCACACUGGAACGUAGACACGGUCAAGACUCCUACGGGAGGCAGCAGUGGGGAAUAUGGGACAAUGGGCGAAAGCCUGAUCCAGCCAUGCCGCGUGUGUGAAGAAGGUCUUCGGAUUGUAAAGCACUGGAAGUUGAGAGGCAUUACCAACAGAAUAAGCAACGGCUAACUUCGUGCCAGCAGCCGCGGGAAUUC